Molecule: ribosomal RNA, 280 nt
Filed under: uncultured bacterium
Lineage: Bacteria
Description: partial 16S ribosomal RNA
Rfam family: Bacterial small subunit ribosomal RNA
Source: RNAcentral
UGCCAGCAGCCGCGGUAAGACGUAGGGGGCGAGCGUUGUCCGGAUUUAUUGGGCGUAAAGAGCUCGUAGGCGGUUCCGUAAGUCGGAUGUGAAAGCUCAAGGCUCAACCCUGAGACGCCAUCUGAUACUGCGGUGACUUGAAUCCAGUAGGGGAGUGUGGAAUUCCUGGUGUAGCGGUGAAAUGCGCAGAUAUCAGGAGGAACACCUAUGGCGAAGGCAGCACUCUGGGCUGGUAUUGACGCUGAGGAGCGAAAGCAUGGGUAGCAAACAGGAUUAGAUA